UGGAGUGAGUUGUACAGUUCAAAACAUUCUGCACAAUGAGCCAAACAAAAACAAAACUCACACUUCUAGAGGGGAAGAAAAUGUAAGCCAAGAGAAACACAAUCAAAAUGCAGAGUGUGCCAACAAGCCACACCUCGUCAGCUUGAUGUUCUACUAAAUUCCUUCUCCUUUGGGACUUAUUUCUAUAGAGACCAUCUCUCUGUUCCAUAACUAAAACUAGAAGUUGCUAGGAAACAGGCUUCUCAGGACACAACUGAAGGGGAGAGGCUGCUUCCUACCAAAAGGAAGAACAUAACAUCUGCCUCAUAGGAUUUUGGAGAGAACUAAAUAAAUCAGUACAGAUAAAACAUUUCAAACAGUGUCUGGCAUAUAAUGAGGAAACUGAGAAAGAUUUGUGAGGCAAAAGUUUGGCUGAAGAAGACAGAAAACACUUGGUGGCAGAGGUGAUAUCUGAGGUGAGCCUUAAAGAAUUAGAAAAAAAAAGAAACGCAUGAAGAGCAUUCUAAUUGGAAGCAUGGAUACAAAGAAACUACCAAGGAAGAGUACUGGGAGGCGGAGAAGAAAAAAACAAAUGUAGAGUUUCCACAGAACCCGGUGAAGAUGAAGAGAAUCCUGCAAAAGAAACCAUGCACCAGCCGGGCGCAGUGGCUCAGGCUUAUAAUCCCAGCACUUUGGGAGGCUGAGGCAGUCAGAUCACCUGAGGUCAGGAGUUCAAGAUCAACC
Molecule: long non-coding RNA, 723 nt
Filed under: Homo sapiens (human)
Lineage: Eukaryota; Metazoa; Chordata; Mammalia; Primates; Hominidae
Description: HSALNT0308096
Source: RNAcentral